Molecule: ribosomal RNA, 251 nt
Filed under: uncultured bacterium
Lineage: Bacteria
Description: partial 16S ribosomal RNA
Rfam family: Bacterial small subunit ribosomal RNA
Source: RNAcentral
CGAACGGGUGAGUAUCGCGUGGGUAAUCUACCUAGAGGUGUGGGAUAGCCUCGGGAAACCGGGGGUAAUACCGCAUGAGUCCUCGACGACACAAGUCGAUGAGGGGAAAGGCGGGGCUCCUUCGGGACCUGUCGCCUCUAGAUGAGCCCGCGUCCGAUUAGCUAGUUGGUGGGGUAAUGGCCCACCAAGGCGACGAUCGGUAGCCGGCCUGAGAGGGUGAACGGCCACAUUGGGACUGAGACACGGCCCAG